Sarcophilus harrisii (Tasmanian devil) is the source of this 1341-nucleotide long non-coding RNA. RefSeq lists it as uncharacterized. The transcript has 2 exons. Lineage: Eukaryota; Metazoa; Chordata; Mammalia; Dasyuromorphia; Dasyuridae. The record is from RefSeq and is a predicted model, not a curated record.
CCGAAAUCUGUGCCAUGAGGCCGUUGGGCGCUGCCCCGGCACAGGAAACGGUGCCGGCCGGGCACGAAAGUUCUGGACAGAGUUUAGGUCCCUUGGGCUUCAUAAGGGAAGAAAAAGGAAUCGAAGGAAUUAGAAUAAGCAGUGAGGAAACAAAACUAUCACUAUUUGCAAAUGAAGAUGAUAUAACUUAAAAAACCCUCAAGUAUCAACUAAAAUAUUCCUAGAAAUAAUUAACUUUAGCAAAGUUGCAGGAUGUAAUAUGAACCCACAUAAAUCAUCGGCGUUCCUUCAUACGGUCAACAAAGCUCAGCAAGAAAUAAAAAGGAUCCUUGGGCUUCAUAUAGUAAAGAAUCAUCUAUGCACCCAUCUUCGGCCAGCAAUCAAGUAUUUGCUAAAUGCCUAUUCUACAUAGGCUACUACGUAGUAGCUGGAGAUACAAAGACUGCCCUCAAGAAGCUUUUACUCUCUUAGGAGAGAGAGAGGUUUUACUUUGGGGUAACCCUGUACAAGGAUAUACACGGCAAAUAAAAGAUGGGGAAGCACAAAUCGUUGAGAGGGUCAAGAAUGUCUUCGUGAAAACAUACUAUUUUACUUUUUUUUAAUUUUUUUUCUUUCUCAAAAUUCUUCUUUCACAACAUGAUUCAUGUGGAAAUAUGUUUAGCAUGAUUGUAAAUGUAUCAUCUAAAUUAGACUUACUGUCGUGGGGAGAAGGGAAGAACAAUCUGGAACUCAAAAUCUUAAAAAAAUGAAUGUUGAAAAAUAUCGUUAUAUAUAAUAGGUGGGGGAAACUUCUAUUAGAUGCAAAAAAAAAAAAAAAAAGUCUUCUUGUAAAUAGUAUUUGAGCUAAGAUUUGAAGGAAAUCAGAGAUGCUAACCAGCAGAGAUAGUGAGAGAAUAUAUUCCAGAAUGGAGGUCAUCCAGUGUAAAAGUCCAAAGUCAGGAAAUGGAGACAUGAAGAGUAAGAAAGUCAGUUUGGCAGAGUAAGAAGCAGUGCAAGGUGGUAAAGAGAACCAUGUCACAAUCAGAAGACUUGGGUUUAGUACCCAGGGUACUACACUUACCUACAUGUGUGAUUUUUGGCUUAAUAUCUUGCCACUGCUCCUUUGAUUGGAAAAUGAUGAGUAUACCAAAUACCUAAAGCGAAGUUUUGCAGGGAAAAACACCUUUGUAAAUUUUAAAGCCAAAGGAGAAGUAAUCCUGUAGGAAUAUUGAGGAGGCGACAAAUUGUAAGCAGCUUUGGAGUAUUGGAAAGAGCAGUAGAACUGCAAAUUAGGAUAUCUAAGUUCUGGUCUCCAAUAUGUCAUUAAUUUUCUGAGUCAUCUGAGCUUUUCCCUGUCUGGGU